GACGAACGCUGGCGGCGUGCUUAACACAUGCAAGUCGAACGCUGAAGCCCUUUCGGGGGUGGAUGAGUGGCGAACGGGUGAGUAACAAGUGGGUAAUCUGCCCUGCACUCUGGGAUAAGCCUUGGAAACGGGGUCUAAUACCGGAUAGGACACAUCGCCGCAUGGUGUGUGUGUGGAAAGUUCCGGCGGUGCAGGUUGAGCCCGCGGCCUAUCAGCUUGUGGGUGGGGUGAUGGCCUACCAAGGCGACGACGGGUAGCCGGCCGGAGAGGGUGACCGGCCACACUGGGACUGAGACACGGCCCAGACUCCUACGGGAGGCAGCAGUGGGGAAUCUUGCGCAAUGGGCGAAAGCCUGACGCAGCAACGCCGCGUGGGGGAUGACGGCCUUCGGGUUGUAAACCUCUUUCGACCGGGACGAAGGGUGACUGACGGUACCGGUAGAAGAAGCACCGGCUAACUACGUGCCAGCCGCCGCCGUAA
Molecule: ribosomal RNA, 481 nt
Filed under: uncultured bacterium
Lineage: Bacteria
Description: partial 16S ribosomal RNA
Rfam family: Bacterial small subunit ribosomal RNA
Source: RNAcentral